CCGCGGUGCUCUUCAUUGGUCGCGGGAGGCCGACUUACUUUGAAAAAAUUAGAGUGCUCAAAGCAGGCGCCUGAAUAAUGGUGCAUGGAAUGAUGGAAUAGGACCUCGGUUCUAUUUUGUUGGUUUUCGCGAGGUAAUGAUUAAGAGGGACAGACGGGGGCAUUCGUAUUGCGACGCUAGAGGUGAAAUUCUUGGACCGUCGCAAGACGAACUACUGCGAAAGCAUUUGCCAAGAAUGUUUUCAUUAAUCAAGAACGAAAGUUAGAGGUUCGAAGGCGAUCAGAUACCGCCCUAGUUCUAACCAUAAACGAUGCCAACCAGCGAUCCGCCGGAGUUCCUUCUAUGACUCGGCGGGCAGCUUCCGGGAAACCAAAGUCUUUGGGUUCCGGGGGAAGUAUGGUUGCAAAGCUGAAACUUAAAGGAAUUGACGGAAGGGCACCACCAGGAGUGGAGCCUGCGGCUUAAUUUGACUC
RNAcentral lists this ribosomal RNA (473 nucleotides) under Pentanymphon sp. PYC112. RNAcentral describes it as "SSU rRNA". It matches the Rfam family "Eukaryotic small subunit ribosomal RNA", at positions 718 to 1201 of the family's 1831-position model. The record is from RNAcentral. Lineage: Eukaryota; Metazoa; Arthropoda; Pycnogonida; Pantopoda; Nymphonidae.